GAUGAACGCUAGCGGCAGGCUUAACACAUGCAAGUCGAGGGGUAUUGGUUUUCGGACCAAGAGACCGGCGCACGGGUGCGUAACGCGUAUGCAAUCUACCUUUUACAGAGGAAUAGCCCAGAGAAAUUUGGAUUAAUACCUCAUAGUAUGUGAGAAUGGCAUCAUUUUCACAUUAAAGUCACAACGGUAAAAGAUGAGCAUGCGUCCCAUUAGCUAGUUGGUAAGGUAACGGCUUACCAAGGCAACGAUGGGUAGGGGUCCUGAGAGGGAGAUCCCCCACACUGGUACUGAGACACGGACCAGACUCCUACGGGAGGCAGCAGUGAGGAAUAUUGGACAAUGGGCGCAAGCCUGAUCCAGCCAUGCCGCGUGCAGGAUGACGGUCCUAUGGAUUGUAAACUGCUUUUAUACGAGAAGAAACACUCCUUCGUGAAGGAGCUUGACGGUAUCGUAAGAAUAAGGAUCGGCUAACUCCGUGCCAGCAGCCGCGGUAAUACGGAGGAUCCAAGCGUUAUCCGGAAUCAUUGGGUUUAAAGGGUCCGUAGGCGGGUUUGUAAGUCAGUGGUGAAAUCUCCUCGCUCAACGGGGAAACGGCCAUUGAUACUGCAAGUCUUGAAUUAUUAGGAAGUAACUAGAAUAUGUAGUGUAGCGGUGAAAUGCUUAGAGAUUACAUGGAAUACCAAUUGCGAAGGCAGG
This 696-nucleotide ribosomal RNA is filed under the name Bacteroidota bacterium. RNAcentral describes it as "bacterial SSU rRNA". It matches the Rfam family "Bacterial small subunit ribosomal RNA", at positions 28 to 725 of the family's 1533-position model. The record is from RNAcentral. Lineage: Bacteria; Pseudomonadati; Bacteroidota.